AUUGAACGCUGGCGGCAGGCUUAACACAUGCAAGUCGAGCGGUAACAGAGAGAAGCUUGCUUCUCUGCUGACGAGCGGUGGACGGGUGAGUGAUGCCUAGGAAUCUGCCUAGUAGUGGGGGAUAACUUGCCGAAAGGUAAGCUAAUACCGCAUACGUCCUACGGGAGAAAGGAGGGGACCUUCGGGCCUUUCGCUAUUAGAUGAGCCUAGGUCGGAUUAGUUAGUUGGUGAGGUAAUGGCUCACCAAGACCGCGAUCCGUAACUGGUCUGAGAGGAUGAUCAGUCACACUGGAACUGAGACACGGUCCUGACUCCUACGGGAGGCAGCAGUGGGGAAUAUUGGACAAUGGGGGGAACCCUGAUCCAGCCAUGCCGCGUGUGUGAAGAAGGUCUUAGGAUUGUAAAGCACUUUAAGUUGGGAGGAAGAGCAGUUAACUAAUAUUUGACUGUUUUGACGUUACCGACAGAAUAAGCACCGGCUAACUUCGUGCCAGCAGCCGCCGUAA
Molecule: ribosomal RNA, 506 nt
Filed under: uncultured bacterium
Lineage: Bacteria
Description: partial 16S ribosomal RNA
Rfam family: Bacterial small subunit ribosomal RNA
Source: RNAcentral